This 107-nucleotide non-coding RNA is filed under the name Citrobacter koseri. RNAcentral describes it as "antisense sRNA RprA". It matches the Rfam family "RprA RNA". Rfam says of the family: Translational regulation of the stationary phase sigma factor RpoS is mediated by the formation of a double-stranded RNA stem-loop structure in the upstream region of the rpoS messenger RNA, occluding the translation initiation site. Clones carrying rprA (RpoS regulator RNA A) increased the translation of RpoS. The record is from RNAcentral. Lineage: Bacteria; Pseudomonadati; Pseudomonadota; Gammaproteobacteria; Enterobacterales; Enterobacteriaceae.
ACGAAUCUGAUCGACGCAUUGAUUUAUAAGCAUGGAAAUCCCCUGAGUGAAACAACGAAUUGCUGUGUGUAGUCUUUGCCCAUCUCCCACGAUGGGCCUUUUUUUAA